AUUGAACGCUGGCGGCAGGCCUAACACAUGCAAGUCGAGCGAGCGGCGGACGGGUGAGUAAUGUCUGGGAAACUGCCUGAUGGAGGGGGAUAACUACUGGAAACGGUAGCUAAUACCGCAUACCAUCAGAUGUGCCCAGAUGGGAUUAGCUAGUAUGUGGGGUAACGGCUCACCUAGGCGACGAUCCCUAGCUGGUCUGCGAGGAUGACCAGCAACACUGGAACUGAGACACGUUCCAGACUCCUACGGGUGGCAGCAGUGGGUAAUAUUGCACAAUGGUCGCAAGCCGGAUGCGGCCAAGCCGCAUGUGUGAAGAAGGCCUUCUGGUUGUAAAGCACUUUCAGCGGGGAGGCGUUACCCGCAGAAGAAGCACCGGCGAACGCCGUGCCAGCAGCCGCGGUAAUAC
Molecule: ribosomal RNA, 406 nt
Filed under: uncultured bacterium
Lineage: Bacteria
Description: partial 16S ribosomal RNA
Rfam family: Bacterial small subunit ribosomal RNA
Source: RNAcentral